GCAAGUCGAGCGAACGGACGAGAAGCUUGCUUCUCUGAUGUUAGCGGCGGACGGGUGAGUAACACGUGGAUAACCUACCUAUAAGACUGGGAUAACUUCGGGAAACCGGAGCUAAUACCGGAUAAUAUUUUGAACCGCAUGGUUCAAAAGUGAAAGACGGUCUUGCUGUCACUUAUAGAUGGAUCCGCGCUGCAUUAGCUAGUUGGUAAGGUAACGGCUUACCAAGGCAACGAUGCAUAGCCGACCUGAGAGGGUGAUCGGCCACACUGGAACUGAGACACGGUCCAGACUCCUACGGGAGGCAGCAGUAGGGAAUCUUCCGCAAUGGGCGAAAGCCUGACGGAGCAACGCCGCGUGAGUGAUGAAGGUCUUCGGAUCGUAAAACUCUGUUAUUAGGGAAGAACAUAUGUGUAAGUAACUGUGCACAUCUUGACGGUACCUAAUCAGAAAGCCACGGCUAACUACGUGCCAGCAGCCGCGGUAAUACGUAGGUGGCAAGCGUUAUCCGGAAUUAUUGGGCGUAAAGCGCGCGUAGGCGGUUUUUUAAGUCUGAUGUGAAAGCCCACGGCUCAACCGUGGAGGGUCAUUGGAAACUGGAAAACUUGAGUGCAGAAGAGGAAAGUGGAAUUCCAUGUGUAGCGGUGAAAUGCGCAGAGAUAUGGAGGAACACCAGUGGCGAAGGCGACUUUCUGGUCUGUAACUGACGCUGAUGUGCGAAAGCGUGGGGAUCAAACAGGAUUAGAUACCCUGGUAGUCCACGCCGUAAACGAUGAGUGCUAAGUGUUAGGGGGUUUCCGCCCCUUAGUGCUGCAGCUAACGCAUUAAGCACUCCGCCUGGGGAGUACGACCGCAAGGUUGAAACUCAAAGGAAUUGACGGGGACCCGCACAAGCGGUGGAGCAUGUGGUUUAAUUCGAAGCAACGCGAAGAACCUUACCAAAUCUUGACAUCCUUUGACAACUCUAGAGAUAGAGCUUUCCCCUUCGGGGGACAAAGUGACAGGUGGUGCAUGGUUGUCGUCAGCUCGUGUCGUGAGAUGUUGGGUUAAGUCCCGCAACGAGCGCAACCCUUAAGCUUAGUUGCCAUCAUUAAGUUGGGCACUCUAAGUUGACUGCCGGUGACAAACCGGAGGAAGGUGGGGAUGACGUCAAAUCAUCAUGCCCCUUAUGAUUUGGGCUACACACGUGCUACAAUGGACAAUACAAAGGGCAGCGAAACCGCGAGGUCAAGCAAAUCCCAUAAAGUUGUUCUCAGUUCGGAUUGUAGUCUGCAACUCGACUACAUGAAGCUGGAAUCGCUAGUAAUCGUAGAUCAGCAUGCUACGGUGAAUACGUUCCCGGGUCUUGUACACACCGCCCGUCACACCACGAGAGUUUGUAACACCCGAAGCCGGUGGAGUAA
RNAcentral lists this ribosomal RNA (1400 nucleotides) under Staphylococcus aureus. RNAcentral describes it as "bacterial SSU rRNA". It matches the Rfam family "Bacterial small subunit ribosomal RNA". The record is from RNAcentral. Lineage: Bacteria; Bacillati; Bacillota; Bacilli; Caryophanales; Staphylococcaceae.